CGGGUGAGUAACACGUGGAUAACCUACCUAUAAGACUGGGAUAACUUCGGGAAACCGGAGCUAAUACCGGAUAAUAUUUUGAACCGCAUGGUUCAAAAGUGAAAGACGGUCUUGCUGUCACUUAUAGAUGGAUCCGCGCUGCAUUAGCUAGUUGGUAAGGUAACGGCUUACCAAGGCAACGAUGCAUAGCCGACCUGACGAGGGUGAUCGGCCACUACUGGAACUGAGACACGGUCCGAG
This 240-nucleotide ribosomal RNA is filed under the name uncultured Staphylococcus sp. Its description in RNAcentral is "partial 16S ribosomal RNA". It matches the Rfam family "Bacterial small subunit ribosomal RNA", at positions 103 to 335 of the family's 1533-position model. The record is from RNAcentral. Lineage: Bacteria; Bacillati; Bacillota; Bacilli; Caryophanales; Staphylococcaceae.